RNAcentral lists this ribosomal RNA (885 nucleotides) under Hebeloma mesophaeum. RNAcentral's name for it is "partial large subunit ribosomal RNA". It matches the Rfam family "Eukaryotic large subunit ribosomal RNA", at positions 72 to 940 of the family's 3401-position model. The record is from RNAcentral. Lineage: Eukaryota; Fungi; Basidiomycota; Agaricomycetes; Agaricales; Hymenogastraceae.
GGAUUCCCCUAGUAACUGCGAGUGAAGCGGGAAAAGCUCAAAUUUAAAAUCUGGCGGUCUCCGGCCGUCCGAGUUGUAAUCUAGAGAAGUGUUAUCCGCGCUGGACCGUGUACAAGUCUCCUGGAAUGGAGCGUCAUAGAGGGUGAGAAUCCCGUCUUUGACACGGACUGCCAGGGCUUUGUGAUGCGCUCUCAAAGAGUCGAGUUGUUUGGGAAUGCAGCUCAAAAUGGGUGGUAAAUUCCAUCUAAAGCUAAAUAUUGGCGAGAGACCGAUAGCGAACAAGUACCGUGAGGGAAAGAUGAAAAGAACUUUGGAAAGAGAGUUAAACAGUACGUGAAAUUGCUGAAAGGGAAACGCUUGAAGUCAGUCGCGUUGGCCGGGGAUCAACCUUGCUUUUGCUGGGCGUACUUUCCGGUUGACGGGUCAGCAUCAAUUUUGACCGUUGGAUAAAGUCUAGGGGAAUGUGGCAUCUUCGGAUGUGUUAUAGCCCUUGGUCGCAUACAACGGUUGGGAUUGAGGAACUCAGCACGCCGCAAGGCCGGGUACUUGUACCACGUUCGUGCUUAGGAUGCUGGCAUAAUGGCUUUAAUCGACCCGUCUUGAAACACGGACCAAGGAGUCUAACAUGCCUGCGAGUGUUUGGGGUGGAAAACUCGGACGCGUAAUGAAAGUGAAAGUUGAGAUCCCUGUCGCGGGGAGCAUCGACGCCCGGACCAGACCUUUUGUGACGGAUCCGCGGUAGAGCAUGUAUGUUGGGACCCGAAAGAUGGUGAACUAUGCCUGAAUAGGGUGAAGCCAGAGGAAACUCUGGUGGAGGCUCGUAGCGAUUCUGACGUGCAAAUCGAUCGUCAAAUUUGGGUAUAGGGGGCGAAAGACUAAUCGAAC